This 263-nucleotide small nuclear RNA is filed under the name Rattus norvegicus (Norway rat). RNAcentral's name for it is "7SK RNA". It matches the Rfam family "7SK RNA". From Rfam's summary of the family: 7SK was discovered as an abundant small nuclear RNA in the mid-70s but a possible function has only recently been suggested. Two independent studies have found that 7SK RNA binds the CDK9/cyclin T complex (known as elongation factor P-TEFb). The record is from Rfam by way of RNAcentral. Lineage: Eukaryota; Metazoa; Chordata; Mammalia; Rodentia; Muridae.
GAAUGUGAGGGUGGUCUGACUGAGACACCUGUUACACUGUUGAUCCCUGCCAAGAUUGAUCUGCUGAUCUGGAUCAUUAGGCAGGUGUACCCUUCCCUUCUCACCUCUGCAGGUGUGUUUGUCCUUCCUGGCAUUGCUCCAUCAAAAAGACAACCUUUUCUGGACAGAGGAGGACCUGUCUUCAUUCAAGGGUAUAGGAGUAGAGCCUUCAAACAAUCUCUCAUAAACAUACAUAUUUUACAGGGUAUCAAAUUAACAACUAU